Molecule: ribosomal RNA, 392 nt
Filed under: uncultured bacterium
Lineage: Bacteria
Description: bacterial SSU rRNA
Rfam family: Bacterial small subunit ribosomal RNA
Source: RNAcentral
UGGGGAAUAUUGCACAAUGGGCGAAAGCCUGAUGCAGCAACGCCGCGUGAGUGAUGAAGGCCUUCGGGUUGUAAAGCUCUGUCUUCUGGGACGAUAAUGACGGUACCAGAGGAGGAAGCAACGGCUAACUACGUGCCAGCAGCCGCGGUAAUACGUAGGUGGCAAGCGUUGUCCGGAUUUACUGGGCGUAAAGGAUGCGUAGGCGGAUACUUAAGUCAGAUGUGAAAAUCCCGGGCUUAACUUGGGAACUGCAUUUGAAACUGGGUAUCUAGAGUGCGGGAGAGGAGAGUGGAAUUCCUCGUGUAGCGGUGAAAUGCGUAGAGAUUAGGAAGAACACCAGUGGCGAAGGCGACUUUCUGGACCGUAACUGACGCUGAGGCAUGAAAGCGUGG